This is a transfer RNA of 75 nucleotides. It matches the Rfam family "tRNA". Rfam says of the family: Transfer RNA (tRNA) molecules are approximately 80 nucleotides in length. Their secondary structure includes four short double-helical elements and three loops (D, anti-codon, and T loops).
GCCGAUGUAGCUCAAUGGCAGAGCAAUCCCUUCGUAAGGGAAAGGUUGUCGGUUCAAGUCCGACCAUCGGCUCCA